UACAGAGGUGGCAAGCGUUGUUCGGAAUUACUGGGCGUAAAGGGCGCGUAGGCGGCCUUCUAAGUCAGACGUGAAAUCCCCCGGCUUAACCUGGGAACUGCGUCUGAUACUGGGAGGCUUGAGUAUGGGAGAGGGACGCGGAAUUCCAGGUGUAGCGGUGAAAUGCGUAGAUAUCUGGAGGAACACCGGUGGCGAAGGCGGCGUCCUGGACCAACACUGACACUGAGGAGCGAAAGCCAGGGGAGCAAACGGG
This 253-nucleotide ribosomal RNA is filed under the name uncultured bacterium. Its description in RNAcentral is "partial 16S ribosomal RNA". It matches the Rfam family "Bacterial small subunit ribosomal RNA", at positions 524 to 776 of the family's 1533-position model. The record is from RNAcentral.